UACGAAGGGGGCUAGCGUUGCUCGGAAUCACUGGGCGUAAAGGGUGCGUAGGCGGGUCUUUAAGUCAGGGGUGAAAUCCUGGAGCUCAACUCCAGAACUGCCUUUGAUACUGAGGAUCUUGAGUUCGGGAGAGGUGAGUGGAACUGCGAGUGUAGAGGUGAAAUUCGUAGAUAUUCGCAAGAACACCAGUGGCGAAGGCGGCUCACUGGCCCGGUACUGACGCUGAGGUGCGAAAGCCAGGGGAGCAAACGGG
This 253-nucleotide ribosomal RNA is filed under the name uncultured bacterium. Its description in RNAcentral is "partial 16S ribosomal RNA". It matches the Rfam family "Bacterial small subunit ribosomal RNA", at positions 524 to 776 of the family's 1533-position model. The record is from RNAcentral.